Molecule: transfer RNA, 87 nt
Filed under: Candidatus Parcubacteria bacterium
Lineage: Bacteria; Candidatus Parcubacteria
Description: tRNA-Leu
Rfam family: tRNA
About the family: Transfer RNA (tRNA) molecules are approximately 80 nucleotides in length. Their secondary structure includes four short double-helical elements and three loops (D, anti-codon, and T loops).
Source: RNAcentral
GCCCGGGUGGCGGAAUUGGCAGUCGCGCACGACUCAAAAUCGUGUGGGGUUAUCCCCGUGAGGGUUCAAGUCCCUCCCCGGGCACAA